GUCUCGGAAAAAAAAAAAAAAAAAAACUUGGAAGGACAUAACUUAGAAUAAGGCUGAUCCUCAGGUUUUUAUUGUUGUUGGGUAUGGAGGUAUAAUACCCAUGAUCCCAUCAGAAAGAUCAGGAUCCAGGAUUCCUCAGGUAUCUUUUGAGUUUGAGAACAGCCUGAGUUACAUUUCUGAGUUUCUUUUCUCAAAAGAAAAAAAAAGGUUUUAUUACAAACUGUGUAGAGAGUAGAAAUAUACUAGCACAACUUUAGAUCCUAGAGUCCUCAGUUUGUGGGUUCUGGGUAUAAUCUCAGGAUGAUGCCUUGGGCUGAUCUGACUGCAGGGAGCUGAGCCUGCAAUUCCAUCUUUGUGAACCAUUCUGUCCCAGAGUGGCCAUGCAGCUGCAGACAGACACACUGCCGUGUUUGUAUACAAUGUGGCAGAGUGACUAUUUUUAUAACACGGAAAUGCCUUACAGAGAAUCACAUCUAUCUAGUCUUUUAGAAAUGCCAUGAUGAUCUGGGUGUGGUGGUGCUCACCUGUAGUCCUAGUACCUAGGAGGCCAUGGCAAGACUGUCUCAAGUUUGAGGUCAGCCUAGGCCACACAAGUGAAUACCAGGCCAGUGGUGUGCAUGCCUGUAAUCCUAGCACUUAGGAAGAGGAGUUUAGCUGAGCUUCGUACAAAGACCUUGUCUCAAAGCAGGAAGCAAACAGAAACUUGAGGUGAGGCUGACUUUUGUGCCAUAUUCUUGGACUGGAGCCAAGUUACUGUUUCUAACCUGCUGGGCUCCCUGUCAAGAAGAAACAAGCUUUUCUGUUUACAAUGAUGUAACACGUGGACAUGUUUUUGGCCACCUUUGGACUGCUGUUACUGAUCUCCAACUUCAAAAGGCCUGCUGUGGCCUGCCCCAGCCUCCCCAGCCUACCUGGAAGAAGACAUGCACAGAACUGGAUACAAAAUAAUAAAGACAGUGGUGCAUUGUGAGACAUCACUUCCCUAAGUUUUCUUCUUGCCUGAGUGGUAGCAAACCGAGGUCAGAAUCGAGGCUCUGGAGUGGCCUGUGCAUGUAUUGCUUGCCUUCCAUACUGGAUGUGCAGGUUGAUGCCAACACACAAAAAUCAAAUUGGCUUUAAAUGCUGCUACCCACAAACAUAGGAGGAGGCUUUCUCAGUGCUGGAGAGCUUCAUCAGAAAUCCAGAGCCACAUCUGUGAUCCUUUCUGCCCCUGCAUUGCUGCCGAAACAAUUGCAGUGAGGAGAGACUGCACUUCUUCCCAAAGCCCCCAGCUCGAGUGGCUCCCGCCAUGUCCUAGCCACAGCCUCACCUGAGGAAGAUGAAGAUGGCCUUCUGAUAGGAGACCUCAUCCACCACAUCGUAAUAGUCUAGGAAAGGCUUGAUGGCAUCAAUGAGGCCAGCAUGCAUCUUGUCCAUCUCGUCAAAGAUGAAGAUGGAGCGAGCACAGGCGCUCACGUUGCCUCGAAUCCACAUCUGUAACUGGUCCUGAAGGACAAGGGAGCCCGUUCAGUGUAACCUCGGGCUUUGCCACCGAUGCCCAAGUUCUCUGAAAUAAUGACUCUAAGACUGAAGUAUAGAUGAAGACACACCCGGUCCCAGAGCUUUGGCUCUGUUCCCCAAUUAGUUCAUAUCUCAAUAACUGCUUUAUUUUAUUCUGUGAGUGCCACAUGGCAAGUUACCUCUCCUUCAGUUUCAUGUAUCCAUCUCCAUCUGUGGUCUGGGGCGAAUUUCCCAUGCUUCCAACUCUA
Long non-coding RNA from Grammomys surdaster, 1748 nucleotides. RefSeq lists it as uncharacterized. The record is from RefSeq and is a predicted model, not a curated record. NCBI's taxonomy places the organism in Eukaryota, Metazoa, Chordata, Mammalia, Rodentia, Muridae. The transcript is spliced from 2 exons.